This 497-nucleotide ribosomal RNA is filed under the name uncultured bacterium. RNAcentral describes it as "partial 16S ribosomal RNA". It matches the Rfam family "Bacterial small subunit ribosomal RNA", at positions 28 to 507 of the family's 1533-position model. The record is from RNAcentral.
GACGAACGCUGGCGGCGUGCCUAAUACAUGCAAGUUGAGCGCUGAAGGUUGGUACUUGUACCAACUGGAUGAGCAGCGAACGGGUGAGUAACGCGUGGGGAAUCUGCCUUUGAGCGGGGGACAACAUUUGGAAACGAAUGCUAAUACCGCAUAAAAACUUUAAACACAAGUUUUAAGUUUGAAAGAUGCAAUUGCAUCACUCAAAGAUGAUCCCGCGUUGUAUUAGCUAGUUGGUGAGGUAAAGGCUCACCAAGGCGAUGAUACAUAGCCGACCUGAGAGGGUGAUCGGCCACAUUGGGACUGAGACACGGCCCAAACUCCUACGGGAGGCAGCAGUAGGGAAUCUUCGGCCAUUGACGAAAGUCUGACCGAGCAACGCCGCGUGAGUGAAGAAGGUUUUCGGAUCGUAAAACUCUGUUGGUAGAGAAGAACGUUGGUGAGAGUGGAAAGCUCAUCAAGUGACGGUAACUACCCAGAAAGGGACGGCUAACUACGUG